UACGGAGGGUGCAAGCGUUAUCCGGAUUCACUGGGUUUAAAGGGUGUGUAGGCGGGUAUUUAAGUCAGUAGUGAAAUCUCCAGGCUCAACCUGGAAACUGCCAGUGAUACUAUUUAUCUUGAAUCUUGUUGAGGUGGGCGGUAUAUAUCAUGUAGCGGUGAAAUGCUUAGAUAUGAUAUAGAACACCGAUUGCGAAGGCAGCUCACUAAACAAGCAUUGACGCUGAGGCACGAAAGCGUGGGGAUCAAACAGG
Molecule: ribosomal RNA, 253 nt
Filed under: uncultured bacterium
Lineage: Bacteria
Description: partial 16S ribosomal RNA
Rfam family: Bacterial small subunit ribosomal RNA
Source: RNAcentral